This 201-nucleotide non-coding RNA is filed under the name Mollicutes bacterium. RNAcentral describes it as "T-box sequence". It matches the Rfam family "T-box leader". From Rfam's summary of the family: Uncharged tRNA acts as the effector for transcription antitermination of genes in the T-box leader family. T-boxes are found upstream of many aminoacyl-tRNA synthetase genes and some amino acid biosynthetic genes usually in Gram-positive bacteria. Lineage: Bacteria; Bacillati; Mycoplasmatota; Mollicutes. The record is from RNAcentral.
UAUAAAUCGGUAAGAAGGAAAUAGUACUUAGAAACUUAAUAUUAAAGCGAGGAACAAGUGGUGAAAGUGUUCUAUAUUAUAGCUAAGGAAUUCAACCUUUAAGAGGCGUUAAUCACGCACGUAAUACUUGCGUUAAAAGUUAGAGUGCUAGGGAUACCCUAGAACAUAGGUGGUACCGCGGAAAUUACUUUCGUCCUUAGA